This is a long non-coding RNA of Hyla sarda, 1696 nucleotides long. RefSeq lists it as uncharacterized. NCBI's taxonomy places the organism in Eukaryota, Metazoa, Chordata, Amphibia, Anura, Hylidae. The record is from RefSeq and is a predicted model, not a curated record. The transcript has 5 exons.
CUAGCAUAGAGCACCAAGGAAACCACAAAAUAUGCAGGGAAUUCGGUCAUUUUGACAGAAAACCCUGCUCUUUUUCAGAAAAUAGCAACAUGCCAUUAAUCACUGUUUACUGUGUGGUCUUUGAAGAAAGGAAACUGAAAGUUCUGGAAAGUUCCCAUGAGCUGUCGUCAACUUUCUACUUUCACUUGCACUGAACAGGAUGAGGAUCUGUUGACAAAGUGAGGAGCCAAUGAUGUACGGGUGUCAGACUCUGCAGAGAAGAUGGAGCUGGAAGCAGUCCUGGUGCUUCGACCAACAGAGAAGACGUCACUCAGAGGAUGAGGAUCUACUGACAAAUUGAGGAGCCAAUGAUGUCCGGGCGUCAGACUCUGCAGAGAAGAUGGAGCUGGAAGACGUCCUGGUGUCUGAACCAGAUGGAGAAAAAGACGUCACUCAGGCUCCAAUGAAUCGACACAAUCACUUCAGCUCCUGCGAAUCAUUACAAAUCAUCUCAAGAAGUGCGCUAGUCCUAAUGCCAAGUUAAACUCUAGUUUAUUUACCAACGGAGCAGAAGUGCGCCGGAUAUUUAAUAAACUAAUAAACUUCCUAGCGCUGCAAUUAUUGAAUUAUGUAUGCUGCCGAGAGCAGGGAUCCUCUGUUUGCAUUCUGCUUUUCCAGUUGCUUUAUCAAAUAAGCCCGAGAGCGCUCCACCUGGUCCUGCUCGGAGAAUCGCUUCAUAGAGAAGAAAGGAGGCACAACCUCAAUGACAACUGAGAGAGAACGGGCCCAGAACCUCAAGAGACAUGGAGGAGGGGCAAGAUCAGGACUUCAGGACAGUGACUUUGCAGACAUCUAUCACAACUUCCUGAAGACCCCUAUAGAUGUUUUCUUAUCCAAAGUGAAAUUAUGUCUCCAGUUCCAAGACCUAUUAACAAUAAGAACCAGUUUAAUGCCCUAAAUAUAUAGAAAGGUAUAAACCAGCUCUCACCCUAUCUUUGGUAAACGUCUAAACGAACCGGCCACAAGCACUGGCCAGAAUCAGUGUCCAAAAUAAUUAAAGGAUAGUUCAGCAGCAAGAUUCUGGGAAAAAAGCUAUUGUGGUUGCCCAGUACCGUAUUGUAUACCGUACCUAGUGUAGAGGUCCCCAAAGUCAGAGUAACUACGUUCAGGUAGGGUCCCUCAGGUGGGACAACCCCUAGUCACCUCGCCUUAAGUCUAAUUCUUUAAUUCUAAUAUAUGUAUAUAUUUAAUAAUAAUGUAUAUCUAAUAUAAUGUAUAGUACUUACCUUGUUUAGCGUCGCAGGUCCUUGGGUCACGUGUUACCCACAAAUCUUUGUAAUGGUGAUUGACAUCAGUAUGGACCAAUUAGCACUAGUCCAGCCCCUGCCCAUAUAAGGGAGCUGUAGCCAAUUAUCGCUCUCUUGGGUUGCUGCUCUCGUGGAUGCCGGACUAGCAGGACGGAUCUGCGCAACUUUCAAAGACACGCUAGGCCUCAAAACCUACCAGCCUCAGUAGAACUAAAACCGUGAGUUCUAAUCUACCCCCGCUAAUGCUAACGUGACUUCUGGACCGCAACUAAUCCCCUCAAUCCAGUGGAACAGCGCCUGAUACUUAAAGACUCUAAAUUGCUAAAGUCCCAACCUUUGUCAAUCUCCAAAGAAGCAGUUGUUUGCAUAGAGACUGUUCAGUUUAUGAAGCUUGCAGAAAACCUUCAGUA